UGACUGCCAAUUCUCAGAGAGCAGUUGGGCUUCUCUGGGGUCAGCUCUGAAGUCUAAUCCAUCCCCCCUGACAGAGCUGGACCUGAGAGGAAUCAACCUGGACCCUGGAAUAAAGGAGCUGAGUGAUUUUCUCCAGUCUCCUCUCUGCAAACUACAGACGUUGAGAUUAAGGUUCUGCAGUUUAUCAGAGAUCAACUGGUCUUCUCUGGCUGCAGCUCUGCAGUCUAAUCCAUCCAAUCUGACAGAACUGGACCUAAACGGAACCAACCUGAACAUUGAACUAAAAGAGCUCAGUGGGUUUCUCCAGUCUUCCCUCUGCAAACUACAGAUAUUGAAAUUGAGGAGCUGCGGUUUUUCAGAAAUCAGCUGUGCUUCUCUGGUCUCAGCUCUGAAGUCAAACCCUUCACAUCUAAAAUACAUUGACCUAAGACAGAACAACCUGAAGCAAUCAGAUGUUCAGCAGCUGCAGAAACUGGUAGAGAAUCCAGACUACAAACUGAAGACUCUGCUGUGGAGCUGGAUAUCCUAGUCCUAGAGAGAAGCUGAUCUGUGUCCUGAUGAUCCACAGAGGUUUAACUCAGCGUUUAAUGAAAUUUAAACCAAGCUCCAUUUAGGUUUGAUCUGAAUUUGAUCAAAGUGUAAAGUGUAUAUUUUUUGUGUUUUAUUCAGUUUCAGCCUACAACCCAGAAAUCUGAAAUAAAGCUUAAUUCUAAUUCAAGUUUUGAUGCUGAAUAUUUGCUUCAUUUUGAUGCAGGUUGUGGUUGUUUUUGAUUGUAUUUUAGAUGU
Cyprinodon variegatus (sheepshead minnow) is the source of this 786-nucleotide long non-coding RNA. RefSeq lists it as uncharacterized. The transcript has 4 exons. Lineage: Eukaryota; Metazoa; Chordata; Actinopteri; Cyprinodontiformes; Cyprinodontidae. The record is from RefSeq and is a predicted model, not a curated record.